GCUAACGCGAUAAGUAGACCGCCUGGGGAGUACGGUCGCAAGACUAAAACUCAAAUGAAUUGACGGGGGCCCGCACAAGCGGUGGAGCAUGUGGUUUAAUUCGAUGCAACGCGAAGAACCUUACCUGGUCUUGACAUAGUAAGAACUUUCCAGAGAUGGAUUGGUGCCUUCGGGAGCUUACAUACAGGUGCUGCAUGGCUGUGUCAGCUCGUGUCGUGAGAUGUUGGGUUAAGUCCCGCAACGAGCGCAACCCUUUUCCUUAUUUGCCAGCCUUUGGGUGGGAACUUUAAGGAUACUGCCAGUGACAAACUGGAGGAAGGCGGGGACGACGUCAAGUCAUCAUGGCCCUUACGACCAGGGCUACACACGUGCUACAAUGGUCGGUACAAAGGGUUGCUACCUAGCGAUAGGGUGCUAAUCUCAAAAAGCCGAUCGUAGUCCGGAUUGGAGUCUGCAACUCGACUCCAUGAAGUCGGAAUCGCUAGUAAUGGCAGAU
RNAcentral lists this ribosomal RNA (496 nucleotides) under Acinetobacter sp. RNAcentral's name for it is "bacterial SSU rRNA". It matches the Rfam family "Bacterial small subunit ribosomal RNA", at positions 851 to 1349 of the family's 1533-position model. The record is from RNAcentral. Lineage: Bacteria; Pseudomonadati; Pseudomonadota; Gammaproteobacteria; Moraxellales; Moraxellaceae.